UCCACGAUUGCGUCACGGGCUCCUAUGGAACAUGCACGGACAUUGACGGCUGGCCAUACGAGCUACCACCAGCCAGCUAUGGCAGAGAUAGCGACGGCUGUGCAAGGACUACAAAAAAAUCACACCAUGGUUCACCAGUAAGGAUUCAAAGAGGGCCUUACAAGAAGUCCCAUAAGGAACGUGGAAUGAGUUAUGGCUACGGACACUGUCAUGGCGAGGAGUGUUAUUAAUAUCCAUAUGGAUUUCUUCAUUGAACUACUGGGACGGGUUCCACACAGUUUUCUCACUUCUGACCACGGUUUCUGGUAUCACGUGUUGAAGCACUCUUCCAAGCAAAUACACAUGCUCAUUAUAAGCAUAUCUAUGUUAUUAGGCAUGUACAUUCUGCUCUCUUCCCAAGCCAGCGUGGGCUCGUUACGCAGGAUGGCUGCCUCGUCUUGCACAGCAUAAAACACAACCAUCCACCAGCCACUAUACUCCAUGCUGUAGUUUCAUUCUCCUUUGCUCGACCACGAUGACAUGGCAAUAUGCCUACACGUAUGGUUUAAGAAAUUUACGGCGACAAAUAUGUGUGAGGAUCAGUCGUGGCAAGUGAAUAGUAACACAAUGACUUGAUGCAUGCUGUAAACAAAGCACCCAGAAGCUGAAGGCUGGGCACAGAAUAAAUACAUUCCAGCCUACAUGUGACAAUAGGUCACAUGGGACUCUUCAAACUGGCUAUCUACUUCCAUGUGAAGACGGACGCAAAGAAGCCGACCCACGUGGGACGGAACUACAGCUUCUCGUACAGCAUGGUAGCUACGUGUAAUGUUAACACAUUUCCGCAUUGCGGCCUUCAUGCACAGUCAUUGGUCGGUUAUUUGUUGGAACGAAAUAAAUCGCUGCUGGUGCUGUUGA
Long non-coding RNA from Ornithodoros turicata, 897 nucleotides. RefSeq lists it as uncharacterized. NCBI's taxonomy places the organism in Eukaryota, Metazoa, Arthropoda, Arachnida, Ixodida, Argasidae. The record is from RefSeq and is a predicted model, not a curated record. The transcript has 3 exons.